This 244-nucleotide long non-coding RNA is filed under the name Erythranthe guttata (spotted monkey flower). RNAcentral's name for it is "long non-coding RNA (EGUT_LNC003359)". Lineage: Eukaryota; Viridiplantae; Streptophyta; Magnoliopsida; Lamiales; Phrymaceae. The record is from RNAcentral.
AAAAAGCUCAUCUCAUACCUCAAAGGAGAUUGGGAGCCAUUAAGCUCAUCUCAUAGCUCAAGGAAUGAAAUGAGAUUGUGAACCAGAAGAUUCAUCUCAUAGCUCAAAUGAGAUUGGGAACUAGAAGAUUCAUCUCAUAGCUUAAACGAGAUUGGGAGCCGGGAGACUCAUCUCAUAGCUCAAUCAAUGAAAUGAGAUUGGGAACCAGAAGAUUCAUCUCAUAGCUCAAAUGAGAUUGGGAACC